This is a long non-coding RNA of Musa acuminata AAA Group (dessert banana), 3532 nucleotides long. RefSeq lists it as uncharacterized. The record is from RefSeq and is a predicted model, not a curated record. Lineage: Eukaryota; Viridiplantae; Streptophyta; Magnoliopsida; Zingiberales; Musaceae. The transcript is spliced from 3 exons.
CUCCGUCGGCGAACGGUGACAGCGCCCGGUAUCUCUCUCUUACUCCUCCCCCACCUCCCGUUCCUCAUUCGCCGUCGCACAAUCCGUUCCCCUCUCUCUUCCCCCGUUCAUCGCAGCCCACGGCCGCCCCCGCCUCGUCGCUGCCCCCUUUCCCCAAUCCCUCCUUCCUCUUCCCCUUUCGCGACAGCUCUCCCGCUUCCCGCUUCCCCGACACCGCCCCCCGACUCCAUAUGUAGCUGACGCUACAUAUAAUUUUUUUAGUGUAGUUGAAGUUAUUUACAUGAGGAAUCUUUCUCAUAAAUUAAGUUCCUUUAUCAGCAUAGAACCAAAUAAACUAGUAGCAUUUCUUGAUUGAGGCAGUUUUCUUAUCUCUUUAUUCAUUUUUCAGAAAAUUUAUUGCCUUUCUCUGGUCUUCCAGCUAUGUUGUGUUUUUUUGUCAAGUUGCUCAUCAUCAUCAACAAUGCCUUUUUUAGCAUGUUGAACCUCACAAAUUACUGUUGUUAAUUAAUUAAACAGUGUCUUUUCUACUUACCAGUCUUGCUAGACUUUUAACUAGAUCAUCUCUUUACAUUCUUGAUGAAAUGGAUCAAUUACUUUGGAAGUGCUCAUUUGAAAUGUUUCAGAUUUUCGUUAUAGGACAUUAGUGAAACUGAUGUUAGAGAAAACAUUAUGCAUCUUCCUGUUAUUCUGAAUUCUGUAGUACCAUUUGCAAGUCAUUGAUGUUCAACCUACAAGUAUAAACAUGAGUAUCGUCUGUAUAAGAUCAACAUGGUAAAUGCCUUUGCCACUCUUAUGCAGCAUAUUUGAUGAAGAUACAUUUGAUAUGGUUUUUAAAUUGCUACAGGGAUAUAGGAUGCUUGGUAGUGUCUAAACGCACCAACUACAAUAGAAAAAUAAGUGGAAGAUUGUGUUUGUGCGCUGGUGUUAUAUGAUGCCAUUAUUUCAGUGGUGGAGAUUUGCUUGGAUGUGAGCAUGAUAAUAAGUAACUAAUCAUAGGUACUCUUUAUCAACUCUCAAACACCAUUUAGAGACUUAUCUCUGAAAGAAAUGGCUGAUUGGAGCUGAAUGCAUGUGGAUUAACAUGAGUGGUAAAGGAAUGUUGUCUGAGACAGAUGAUUAGUUGAAAGUUUUCAACAUCCUUGAUUUGAGGUAGAAGAGGAAUUUGGACUUGGAGAGGGCAGAAAUAAGAUUACUUUUCUUGUAUUUUUCUGCAAACGGUACUGGAUACUGCCUCAAAAGACUAAUGUUUUCGGUGCAGAAGAGGCUCUUGUGCCUUCUCUCUUGUAACAAGUCCAACAUCCAUCUUUCCUCCUAUCAACUCUGCAGUCUGUUUAGCUUUUCCACUGUCAAAGAGCACAGUUCAAAUCAUAGAUCCAACUUUACGUUGGUCGACCCUCUUGAGUCAUGUGAACUUUCCUCAAAAGAGGCUGCAAAAAGGGCCAAGGAUAGCAUCUGUGAAAAAGAACUUUCAAGUUCAAGUCUUUCCAUUGAGUUCUUUAAGCAGAUCGGUUGGAGUGAUGCACAAGUCAUGAAGCUUAUGCAGAGGGAACCCAAGUUUCUACGUGCUAACGUAGAGACUGUCCUGAAGCCCAGGAUGAGAUCUUUGCAGGAUAUGGGAUUUUCUGACACUGAAAUAGUUCAGCUGGUUUCAUCAUGUCCGGGUCUGCUCUGUUUUCGUGAUAUCCAACCAAGGAUCAACUUCUGGAGGUCACUACUUGGUUCUAAUUAGAGGUUAAUUAAAGCCUGUAGGAGGACCAUGUUUCUCCAUACUUCUAGCUUGGCUCGAAAGAUUGAGCCCAAUAUAUCUCUCUUGAUGGAAUGUGGCAUCAGUGAGCAAUGCAUCACGCAGAUGGUGGUGGCAGUACCGAGUUUAUUUUGUCGAACGAACAAAUGUAUCUACGAAUCUAUCAAACAUGUUGAGGAGUUGGGUGUGUCACACGACUGUAAAUUGUUCCCUCGUGCACUUUAACAGUCAUGACCGUGAGCAGGUCCAGGUUUCAUGCUACUUUUGCAACCCUGAUGAGCUUUGGGUGGUCCGAACCAGACAGCAUUGCUGUAUUCAGGAGGCAUCCAGUCAUUUGGAAAUACUCAAAGAAGAACUUAUCUGACAAGAUGACAUUCCUGAUGAAGGAAGCUGGUUGUGAGCUGACAUAUAUCAUUGGUCAUCCCGUGCUUCUUACAAUAAGCUUGGAGAAGAGGUUGAGACCUCGAUAUGAAGUUAUGAAUUUUCUUGAUCAGAAUAAAUUGCUGGAUAAAGGGCGUAACCUGCUAUCUGUCAUGCAGCUAUCUGAAGAGAAGUUCAGAAACAAAUUCCUUUUCCUGCUAGGCAAGGAGAAAUUUAUUGCUCAAUAUGAUUCCUAUGUUGUUGCUGUGCAGGGAAAGCACCAUGUUGUUGCGGUAAACUAGGACUGCAAGUACUUCCUUAAGACAAAGUGUCAACCUAUUGCAUGCUGACUGCAAAUUAAUCACUUUAUAUUUGUGACAAUUUAAAUUCUGCAAGAGUUUCUUGGAGUAUAACUUCCAUGUUGAUUUGGUGAUUGUUCUUCUAUUUAUUUUUUCUACAACAAAAGGUACUGAUUCUUUUAUGCUGAUGUCUCAGGAAUUGGUGUGGGGGAAAGUCAAUUCUUGAGAAAGAUGUACAACAUCCUCAUAACUCGCCUAACAGCACAAGGGUUAAUCGCCUUGGUGACUACUUCUAAUGCCUUCGUACCCUUAGCUUCCAAUAGGCGACUCGUCCUCCCUCAUGAACCAGUUAAGAAAUCUUUGGAGGAGGCACCAUGGAAACUUGAUGUUCAUUUGUGACAAAGUUAUCAUCUUAGUAACAAACUUGAAAGUGGUUAUGAAAGACUACUUUUAUUGGGAUGCAUCAACCUUGCAGCAAAUGUACAACAUCCUCAUAACUCGCCAAACAGCACAAUGGUUAAUUGCCUUGGGUGACUACUUCUAAUGCCUUCGGACCCUUAGCUUCCAACAGGUGACUCGUCCUCCCUCAUGAACCAGCUAAGAAAUCUUUGGAGGAGGCACCAUGGAAAUUUGAUGUUCAUUUGUGACCAAGUCAGCUGGCAACGAUGGUUAUCGACAUCCAUCCGAAGUAAUUUUUUGAAUAGAUUAACCAUUGGUCAAAUUCUAAAAGGUUAGCUAUAGUUGAAGAUGAUACGUGCAUAUCUAUUUGUUGAAGCUCCAUAACUAAUAAUAAAUGGCGACUAAGUCUUAAAUAUAAUUUAUAUUUAAAUCAUCAAAUCUUAUAUUUGCUGGUUUAGUUUGUGAAUGGAAGGAUAAUGAACUAGUAAAAGUAGGACUGCUGGUUUAGUUUGUUGAAGCCGUUCCCUGCAAGUUUUAAUUAAAGCUUAUCUCAACAGUAUGUUCUUAAUACAUGCAGUACCAAGAGGUCCUUUAUUUGAAUGUUGACUACAUAUGUUUUCUUACACAGUGCAUAAAUAGUUCGGAUAUUAUGGCUUUUGAUAUUAUUCUUAUUGUUUACACUUGUUGGAUUUAUUGGCAAAUUCUCACUGAUUUAGAUUAAUAGCUGAAG